ACUGAGACACGGCCCAGACUCCUACGGGAGGCAGCAGCGGGGAAUAUUGCGCAAUGGACGGAAGUCAGACGCAGCGACGCCGCGUGGUGUGAAGAAGGCCUUCGGGUCGUAAAGCCCUUUUCUGUGGGAAGAGGAAGGACGGUACCAUAGGAAUAAGCGUCGGCUAACUACGUGCCAGCAGCCGCGGUAAGACGUAGGACGCGAGCGUUAUCCGGAUUUACUGGGCGUAAAGCGUGUGUAGGCGGCGUGACAAGUUGGGCGUGAAAGCCCCGUGCUCAACGCGGGGAGGCCGCACAAUACUGUCAGGCUAGAGGGCAUCAGAGGGGUGUGGAAUUCCCGGAGUAGCGGUAAAAUGCGCAGAUAUCGGGAGGAACACCGGUGGCGAAAGCGGCACCCUGGGGUGCACCUGACGCUGAGAGACGACAGCUAGGGGAGCGAACAGGAUUAGAGACCCUGGUAGUCCUAGCCGUAAACGAUGGAUGCUAGGUGUGGGAGUGAAGAACUUCUGUGCCGCAGCGAACGCGAUAAGCAUCCCGCCUGGGGAGUACGGCCGCAAGGUUAAAACUCAAACGAAUUGACGGGGACCCGCACAGGCAGCGGAGCGUGUGGUUUAAUUCGAUGCUACACGAAGAACCUUACCUGGGAUUGACAUAUGGGUGGUAGUGAGCCGAAAGGCAAGCGACCCUUCGGGGAGCCUAUACAGGUGCUGCAUGGCUGUCGUCAGCUCGUGCCGUGAGGUGUCGGGUUAAGUCCCGUAACGAGCGCAACCCCUGUCCUUAGUUACAAGUGUCUAAGGGGACUGCCGGCGGGAAGCCGGAGGAAGGUGGGGAUGACGUCAAGUCAGCAUGGCCCUUAUGUCCAGGGCGACACACACGCUACAAUGGUCGGUACAGAGGGCAGCGAAGCCGCGAGGUGGAGCGAAACCCAGAAAGCCGGUCGUAGUUCGGAUUGCAGGCUGCAACUCGCCUGCAUGAAGUUGGAGUUGCUAGUAACCGCAGGUCAGCCAUACUGCGGUGAUACGUUCCCGGGUCUUGUACACACCGCCCGUCACGUCAUGGGAGUCGGUAACGCCUGAAGGCGGUAGUCUGACCGGAAGGAAGACGCUGUCGAGGGUGGGGCUGCAACUGGGACGAA
RNAcentral lists this ribosomal RNA (1134 nucleotides) under uncultured organism. RNAcentral's name for it is "bacterial SSU rRNA". It matches the Rfam family "Bacterial small subunit ribosomal RNA", at positions 318 to 1484 of the family's 1533-position model. The record is from RNAcentral.